Vicia villosa (hairy vetch) is the source of this 2550-nucleotide long non-coding RNA. RefSeq lists it as uncharacterized. The record is from RefSeq and is a predicted model, not a curated record. The transcript is spliced from 3 exons. NCBI's taxonomy places the organism in Eukaryota, Viridiplantae, Streptophyta, Magnoliopsida, Fabales, Fabaceae.
AUAAAUUGGUCAUCUAUAUAUUAGUAAUGUGUACAUUUUUUUUAUUCUUCACGUACAUAUUAUCUUAUACCUUAAUUUCUGUUCCAUCUAACAAUUUCUAUUUUUUCUCUCAUAAUUUUCAUACGUACAAGUUUAAUAAUCACUAAUAUACUGCUGACCUACUUUUCAAACACAAAAAGGGAUUCAACCACACAAUUUCAUGCUCAUCUUUAUCAACAAGAACAUAUGUCUUGAGGAAAACACAUUCCAAACAUGAGCAUAAUUCAGUCAUCAGCUUUGUUUUUUUUAGAUCUAAUAACCAUAAGAACAAAAUUGUCAUUCAUGAUCUCAUCAUGUUUAAGAAGAAGCAUAACACUGCUACCGAUGCAUUUGACAACCAACAGCAACCUUCAAAAGCAGCGGCGCAGCCCCUCGAAUCCGACAAUCGCGACCGCUCCGACGUCGGCGAUCCUCACGCACACAGCGGCCGAGCCGCCUCGAUCUCCCUCCGUACACGAAAUCGCAACCGCCACCACACUCCCUCCGAUCAAAGCUUCCGGCCACAAGUUCCUCAACCACGACGGAUCCGUAAGAUUUCGAAGCAAAUCCGGUAACCAUCUUUGCUUCUCCUAUUAAUAUAUGGCGAAUUAAUCGAUUUAUUAUUUGUUUGAAUUGCUUUGUUGUGUGAUCUUUUGUGUUUUGAAUCAAAGGAGAGGGCUGAUAAUUUUAAGAGAGUUUUUGCAAUGUUUAUUCAUCUUUUUUCUAUUUAAUUUUGUAUUUUUUUUUCCUUUCCAAUGUCACGUGUCAAUUGUUGAUGGGUUGAUGUUUUAAUUUUUUUUUGAGACAUAAGAACAUCCACGUCUCUCACUUUCACUAUAUCUUUUUAAUUGUUGUUUUAUUAUUUAUUUACUUAGUACCAAAAAACGGUCUUAUGGUUAGUUUUUUUUUUUUUUUAUAUCAAAAUAUAAAAGAUAUUAGAAUUUAGAUUUUCUGUCUCUCAUACAAAAACACCAAAAAUAUUUUAUUGUCUUAGAGUUUAAAUUUUAGUUUCUAUAUUAUAAAAAAUAAAAAAUUAUAAUUACUUUAAUUUCUCAUAUAAAAAAAAACUUAAAAAUGUAAAUGUUUGUGCUAAUUUUUAGAUUUUUUUAAUUAAUUUUAAUUAAAUUUGUUAUCAUUUCUUAUGCAUUAUUUUGUAUAUAUCCGUACUAAUAUUGUUUGAUUGCGAGGUACCACCUUCUUUGAGGACUCGGAUUAUUUUGUGGAUAUUCAUACGUUUUUGUGUAUAUUCUGUCUAUUUUAAUUUCUAGUUUUUGGUUUGUAAUAAUUUUCAUCUCUGUUUUUGGUUAUGUACCCCCCAUCCCGAAGUCAUGUAAUAGCAUAAGAAUUUUAUUUUCCGCACCUAUUAUAACUGUUAUAACUGUUAGAUGAAUGUUUAAUAGGAUUGUAUGGAAAGAUAACAACUGAACAUAGAUCACUAACUCAAAGAUAAAUAUCUGAACUUAACACACUCGCAUCCACUCACCUCUAGGGUACGCCCCUCUUGGUUGCGUUACGAAUAAUAACGGUCAUGUCCCUUGAAUGUAGAGAUACUUUAGCAAACGAUGACCCUCGAAAAUAUCAUCAUUGAAAGAUCUUAGCCCCUCAAUGUCCCUUAGAGUGGCAGCUGCGAAUAUGCAUAAACAUUUAUUUAUGCAUGGUGCAUAAGUUAACCUAAGCCCUUGGAUCAAUAUUUCCAUCUAAUGGCUAGAAAUCACCAUAUAUAUAUUUACUAAAAACAGAAAAAAAAAACGUUUUGGUGAUUUUUUCCUUCUUAAUUCAACGACUCAGACAUCAUUUUCUUCUCAACUCACCACCGUCGCCACCGCUGCACCGUCGCCACCGCCAAUCUCCGCCGAUCACCACCGUCUUCAUCCUUCCUUCUCAACACAUCACCACUGUUGCCAUGCUUCCUUCCCAACACCUAAUCACCGUCGCCUUUCUUCGCCGCCAUCAAUAACUCAUUCCGGUGAUUCCUCACAGCUCACUUUCAUCCACGAAAUCAUAGGUUGUGUUGCUAAUGGAUGAGAUAUCGUCUUCCACAAAUGUCACUCAAGAUGUUGGUUCAAUCUCCGAUGAAAAUAAAGAAUCGUGGCAACAUUUUGUCUUCCACGAGCUUUCAUCAAUCAAGGAUUUCUAUGCUAAAUACGCUCAUGAAAAGGGAUUUAGCGUGAGAAGAAAUUUGCACUCCUUCUAUGAUUCUCGUAACAAAAAAACGGACAUUGUGCAAUAUAUCCGUUAUGUUUGUAACAAGCAUGGUUUCAAGCACGGAAGUCGGGCGGAUCCUAAGAACAAGACAAACUCGGAUACUCCUGUUCUCAUUGAAUAUCAGAAAGAGAAAGAACUUCCCGAGGAAAGGACUGGUUGCGCAGCUAGUAUUUCGUUGAAGUAUGAUUCCAAUGUUAAAGGUUAUCACAUAUACAAAUGGAAUGUUACUCAUAACCACCCUCUCCACAAACCCGAGCAUUCGCAUUACUUGAGAUCGGCUCGAGAGAUUAGUGAGCCUCAAAAACAACUUGCUAUAAUAAAUUCAAA